This is an RNA transcript of Vanessa atalanta (red admiral), 3812 nucleotides long. It is a transcript of the gene named hyaluronidase-5-like, with no coding region annotated. The record is from RefSeq and is a predicted model, not a curated record. NCBI's taxonomy places the organism in Eukaryota, Metazoa, Arthropoda, Insecta, Lepidoptera, Nymphalidae. The transcript is spliced from 8 exons.
UGAACGCAUCAUGUUAUGUCAAAAAUUGGCGCCAAAUUACGUUAAUUUAAAUUGCGCGAAAAAAAGAAUUAGUUUAUUUUAAUUUUAACAGACAAUGGAACUUGUGUUUUAAUUAUUUUUUUUUGUGUUUACGUAAUAAGUUUUUACGAUGAAGUUUUUAUUGUUUUCGAUUUUAAUAUUCUGUGCGGUGAAAUGCGAUGAUGGAAGCAAUAACUACUACGUCGUCGAAGUUCUCGAAGAUGAAAUAAGCAGGGACUUCAGAAAACCUUUCCGUGUUUACUGGAACGUGCCAACAGUUCAGUGCAAAUCGAAGAAAAUACUAUUCGACAAUUUAUAUGAAAAAUAUGGCAUCAUUCAGAAUGAUGACGACAGCUUCAAUGGCGAGCAAAUCACGAUCAUGUACGAACCGGGUCUGUUUCCGGCUAUAUUCAAAAAUGAAACCAGUGGGAAAUACCGUUUUAGGAACGGUGGUGUCCCCCAGGAAGGGAAUUUGGAAGAGCAUUUGAAGGCUUUUCGAGCGGAUAUGGAGGAAAUUGUACCAAACCCGGACUUUAGUGGCAUUGGAAUCAUAGAUUUCGAAUCAUGGCGGCCCAUCUUUCGGCAGAACUUCGGUACUCUAGUUCCAUACAAGGACGUUUCCUAUGAAAUUGAGAAGAAAUUGCAUUGGUGGUGGCCCAAGAGUUGGAUUAACACGGAGGCGAAGCAACGCUUCGAAGCAUCUGCUAGAACAUUUAUGCAGACGACGUUAUCCAUUGCGAAGCAAAUGCGUCCUAAAGCGCUUUGGGGAUACUACGGGUUUCCACACUGCUUUAACAUGGCGGGGCAGAAUUUAAAGGAGGAUUGUGCUCCGAAUGUUUUAGCUGAAAACGACAUAACUUACUGGAUGUGGUCUGAGAGCACAGCGCUGUACCCGUCGGUGUACAGUUCAAAGAAUCUAUCUUCAGACCAGUUAGGGUCACUAGUUCGAGGUCGGGUCAGAGAAGCUAAUCGAGUUAGACGAUACGAGACACCGAUACUGCCUUACUAUUGGUUUAGAUAUCGUGAGGGUGGAUAUAUGACAGAAGAAGACCUAAACGUUGUUCUCAAGUCUUUUUACAAAUCAAACGCAUCCGGAUUCAUCAUAUGGGGUAGCUCAAACGACGUGAAUACAGUUAGCAAAUGCAAUAAUCUGUAUUCUUACGUCGAAAAAGUUUUGGGACCUACUGUAGCGAAAUACAUUAAGAAAAUAAACAUAGCCAAUGACGUUAUCAUCGAAACACCACCUGAACUUAAUUUCAUUAAUGACACUGUCACCAGUGAUAUAAAUAUGACGAAUAAAACAAGUGUUGUCGAAUCUUCCGAGAAUAGCACCAAUAGCUUUGUCAGAAAAGGAGAAAUAGAUCCAGAGUAUGAUUGGAUACCACCAGAGAAUUACUCUCAAGAUAUUUCACAAAACGUUGAAAAAGAAUUACAAAAGAAAGGUUUUAAUAAAACAGAAGAUAUAAAUGAAAUGAAGACAUUAAACGACAGUGCUGUUGUUGAUAUGAUAUUUGACGCUUUGAUAAAAGCUGAUAAUUAUAAUGAAAGUGAAAAUAGCAAACAGACAACUAGAAAUAUCGUGAACGAAACAUUCUUUUCAAAUAAUAACAAUAGUAUAGAAAUAACCGAAGCGCCCAUUAUUAAGGAUACUGAUUCCUUGAAUUCUUUAAUCACAAAAGAUCCAUUAGGUUUUAUAGAACAUCUUGCGAUAGAAGAGGCAAAAAAUGAGUAUUUUGAUGAAACAAUAAAUAUAGACGAAUAUAAAGAUGAAGAUGAAGAAAUUAGAUUAAAAGAUUCUUCCAUUGAUAAUAUCUUACCCAUUGAAGAUAACCAAAGGCCAUUUUCGACUCCUGCUACAAAUAAUUUAUUAAAUAAAGAUGUAAUAGUUAAUGUUGCGAGUGACACUACAACAUCAAUAAGUGAUACAACCGUGAAAGUUCCUUCUAAUAUUGAAGAAAACAAUAUGAAAUCUAAAAAUGAAAAUAUCUUUAUAAAUAUAUUAGAUUUUUUGUUAAACGGAAAUUCCAAUUCAGAAAAUGAAAGUGGAAAACAAUAUAUAAAAAGUAAACAUAAUAAAUUGAAAAAAAAUACUGCAGAUUCCGACUCAUCAGUAAAAGAAUUAUCAAACGAUGAUGACUCAGAAAAUUUAGAUACCAAUUUUUCUAUUGAAAGCAUCACAAACAAUGAUGAAUUUGUAAACAACAGUACUGAAAUCUAUACAGAAAUAUCAAAAACAAAUGAAGAAGAAUCUCAAGGAAUUAUAUUUGAAAUAGAUCAGACAACCGAAAUUUAUUUGCCUUACAAUAAAGAAAAUAAUGAAUCUAGAUCUUUAUCAACAACAGAAGAAAGUAACGAAGAUUUAAUAACCUUCAACGAUGAAUUUGACGUUUUGAUGGAAAAUACAACUGAUUUACAUUUUGAAUCAUCCACACAAUACGACGAAAAUAUAGAAACCAAUAAUAAUGAGAACAAUUCAUUUUUAUUAGCAGUUAAUCUCUCGUCUUCCACGAAUACAAUUCUUUCUACAGAUAAAAAUAUAAAUACAGAUGUAUAUACGACGGAAGAUUCUAAUACGAGUGAAAGUGUUACAGUGACAGAAAGUGGAGACAGUGAAUUCAUUACAAUUGAAAAUAAAGAUGACGUUUUAUAUGAAGAUAAAAACGAAUCGUUAUUUACAACAGACGCUGCAGCUGAUCAGGUGAGUGUAUCAUCCAGCUUCGCUUUGGGGUCCAACUCGAAUUCCAUGUAUUUCUAUAUCUAUUCUACUUUCAUAUUUUUUAAUAAUAUAUUUAUCAACAGUAUAUCUUAAGACAUCCAGUUCAACUGCAUUUAAUACUUUUUCUUUUUCAUUGUUGCCUUCAAAAAGAGUCAUUGAAGAUUCUAUAGAAUCUUUUCCUGAUUUACUUAUAAGUAAAUCAGGAAUUUUUAGGCUGCGGUCAGAUUUAUAUGUAUGUAUAUUUGAAUACUGAUGUCGAAUAGAGUUUAACAGUAUUUAACUAAAGUGGAACUAUAAUUUUCUUUAUGUUGCAAGACUUACAAGAGGGUCUUGAUCUUUUUGGAUAACAAUGUUUUAUAUCAAUUAAUCAAUCAACUAUCAAAACCAAUAAUAUUUUCAAUUUGAUUGACGAACUAUGAGGAGUAUUUUCGUAUUAUUCUACAAUAUUAAAAUGUUGUAGAAUAAUCCCACCCUAGAUUAGGUUACUGGGUGCUUUGUAUAUCUGUAACAGUAGUUCAUAUUCUUUUCUACAAAUCAUCUCAACAAAUACAAUUUGACAGGAAAAAACGUAUCUUUCCAACGAUAUCAACCUUGGUAAAUGUUUUAACCUAAAGCGCCGUUUGUGAAUAUCUUAUAAUAAGAAUAUUUUAAUUUUAAUACAUGUCUUUGGUAAUAGAAUAGCAUUUUGCGUGCCAGCACAUUUAAAUCUAAGUCAGAAAUUAUUCUUCUUUAGUUGGAACAUUUAUUUUUAAUUAUCUAUCUAUCGAUCAAUUCACAAAAGAGGACUCUUCAUGUUAAAUUAUCGUGGAAGGGCGCCUUCGUGAUUGAAUAGAUACGCCUUUACUGAAAAACGUCGUAUGAUACAAAAGCUACACAAUUUUUUUUUAACUGUCAAAAUAACUCAGGACAAAGAAAAAGAUCAUGUUAAUCUAUUCAUCCGCAAUAAGUACAAUGUUAAUUUAAAAUGUCAACGGAGUGAUAAAAAGAUUUGUUGUUGGAAUUUAUAAUAUUAUGAAUGUAAAUCUUUUUUUUUUUAAUAAUAGCUUAAAUAAUUCCAUCACUUAUAUUUUAUCUGUGA